Molecule: ribosomal RNA, 504 nt
Filed under: uncultured bacterium
Lineage: Bacteria
Description: partial 16S ribosomal RNA
Rfam family: Bacterial small subunit ribosomal RNA
Source: RNAcentral
AUUGAACGCUGGCGGCAGGCCUAACACAUGCAAGUCGAACGGUAGCACAGAGAGCUUGCUCUCGGGUGACGAGUGGCGGACGGGUGAGUAACGUCUGGGAAACUGCCCGAUGGAGGGGGAUAACUACUGGAAACGGUAGCUAAUACCGCAUAACGUCGCAAGACCAAAGUGGGGGACCUUCGGGCCUCACACCAUCGGAUGUGCCCAGAUGGGAUUAGCUAGUAGGUGGGGUAAUGGCUCACCUAGGCGACGAUCCCUAGCUGGUCUGAGAGGAUGACCGGCCACACGGGAACUGAGACAUGGUCCAGACUCCUACGGGAGGCAGCAGGGGGGAAUAUUGCACAAUGGGCGCAAGCCUGAUGCAGCCAUGCCGCGUGUAUGAAGAAGGCAUUCGGGUUGUAAAGUACUUUCAGCGGGGAGGAAGGCGGUGAAGUUAAUAGCUUCACCGAUUGACGUUACCCGCAGAAGAAGCACCGGCUAACUCCGUGCCAGCCGCCGCAGUAA